UAAUACGGAGAGUGCGAGCGUUAUCCGGAAUCACUAGGCGUAAAGGGAGCGUAGGCGUCUUGUCAAGUUCCCGGUGGAAUCUCCGGGCUUAACCCGGAACUUGCGGGGAAAACUGACAGGAUUGAGUUAAAGAUGGGAGAGUGGAAUUCCUGGUGGAGCGGUGAAAUGUGUAGAUAUCAGGAAGAAUACCGAUGGCGAAGGCGACUCUCUGGCUUUAAACAGACGCUGAUUCUCGAAAGCGUGGGUAGCAAACGGGAUUAGAGACCCCGGUAGUCCACGCCCUAAACGAUGAAUACUAGAUAUCGGUGGUAACCAAUCUAUCGGUGUCGCAGCUAACGCGUUAAGUAUUCCGCCUGGGGACUACGGCCGCAAGGCUA
RNAcentral lists this ribosomal RNA (377 nucleotides) under uncultured Campylobacterota bacterium. Its description in RNAcentral is "bacterial SSU rRNA". It matches the Rfam family "Bacterial small subunit ribosomal RNA", at positions 521 to 896 of the family's 1533-position model. The record is from RNAcentral. Lineage: Bacteria; Pseudomonadati; Campylobacterota.